AUGGCAUGGUGGAAGUUUUGUAUUCCGAAGAGUGAAGGAGGUAUGGGAUUCCAUGAUCUCUACUCUUUCAACUUAGUUUUAUUCGCGAAACAGAGAUGGAGACUCAUAAUUGACCCGGAUUCUUUGGUGGCAAGGGUAUUAAAAGCUAAAUAUUAUCCCAACGGGAGCUUACUUGAUGCCACAUCGAAGAAUGGGGCAUCCCUUACUUGGCAAAGUAUUUUGAACGGAUUGGAAACUUUUUAA
This 243-nucleotide ribosomal RNA is filed under the name Triticum aestivum (bread wheat). RNAcentral's name for it is "partial small subunit ribosomal RNA". Lineage: Eukaryota; Viridiplantae; Streptophyta; Magnoliopsida; Poales; Poaceae. The record is from RNAcentral.